AUGGAAACGUCAGCUAAGACCGCAUAGGUGUAGAGAUCGCAUGAACUCUAUAUGAAAAGUGCUACGGGACUGGUAGGUGAUGGACUUAUGGCGCAUUAGCUGGUUGGUAGGGUAACGGCCUACCAAGGCGACGAUGCGUAGCCGACCUGAGAGGGUGACCGGCCACACUGGGACUGAGACACGGCCCAGACUCCUACGGGAGGCAGCAGUAGGGAAUUUUCGGCAAUGGGGGAAACCCUGACCGAGCAACGCCGCGUGAAGGAAGAAGUAGUUCGUUAUGUAAACUUCUGUCAUAGAGGAAGAACGGUGGAUAUAGGGAAUGAUAUCCAAGUGACGGUACUCUAUAAGAAAGCCACGGCUAACUACGUGCCAGCAGCCGCGGUAAUACGUAGGUGGCGAGCGUUAUCCGGAAUUAUUGGGCGUAAAGAGGGAGCAGGCGGCACUAAGGGUCUGUGGUGAAAGAUCGAAGCUUAACUUCGGUAAGCCAUGGAAACCGUAGAGCUAGAGUGUGUGAGAGGAUCGUGGAAUUCCAUGUGUAGCGGUGAAAUGCGUAGAUAUAUGGAGGAACACCAGUGGCGAAGGCGACGAUCUGGCGCAUAACUGACGCUCAGUCCCGAAAGCGUGGGGAGCAAAUAGGAUUAGAUACCCUAGUAGUCCACGCCGUAAACGAAGAGUACUAAGUGUUGGGAGUCAAAUCUCAGUGCUG
Molecule: ribosomal RNA, 706 nt
Filed under: uncultured bacterium
Lineage: Bacteria
Description: bacterial SSU rRNA
Rfam family: Bacterial small subunit ribosomal RNA
Source: RNAcentral